Molecule: long non-coding RNA, 2206 nt
Organism: Chiroxiphia lanceolata (lance-tailed manakin)
Lineage: Eukaryota; Metazoa; Chordata; Aves; Passeriformes; Pipridae
Exons: 3
Source: RefSeq, a predicted model, not a curated record
UUCUUUUCAUGACUUAAAAGGAUUCUUUUCCUUUUAUAAGCUGAAUUAGUCAUUAUGUGGUAAAAAAUGAGUCCACCAAAUGACUUGGAGCUGACUAUGUAACUAAGCGCAAUUAUAGGAUAGUAUUGGAUCAAGUUGUGAUUUAAAGUUCACAUUCUGUCAAAAUGAGCUUCCCUUUUCUCUCUCAUUUUUGAAGAUAAAGCUACUUGAAUUUUCUGUAUCUGUUAUAAUUCCAAUAGGGUUGGGGUUUUUUUUAAGUAUUCAUUUAGCUGUGUUUGACCUCUCAGUACUGCUAAUGGAUGGGAGGGAAUAGGAUGGAGGGAAGUUUAGGUUUUCUGUUGUGUAAGCUGAGACAAAGGUUUCAAGCUGUAAAUAAUCUUACAUCAUCCCAAACAAUUAGAGGUACUUUUUAUCUCAGCAGUAUUUGUGGUACUAAAGCAUUGAUAUCAGCACAUGUUACCUUUUAAGGCAUGUAAAAAUUUUGAUUAGGAGUAUGCUCCCAAAUUUUGUACUGAGAUAACCAAGUUAAGGUUCGCACUGAGAGCAGGACUGCUGCAAGCUGCAAUGGUGAUCCACUGAGAACAAGAAACCCUUUGAUCACAGAUUGAACCCACACAUCAUAUCUGCAGGCUGACUUUUUGUAUGGCCUAAUCUUGUUUGGGGGAUGGGGAUGUCUGGGAGGCUCCUUUACAUUAUUAUUUCUUUUGUUUUCUAUGUAUGGGCCGUUCAAUUAAGUGUUGGACUCGAUGAUCCUUGUAGGUCCCUUCCAACUCAGAAUAUUCUGUGAUUGUUUUCCUUGCAUUUCCAGUACGUGAUCUCUCAUUUCUCUUUUCUUAGACACUAACAGUAUCCCCUGAACCCUCUCCAUGUCUGUGACUUGUUUCUUCUAAUGCUGCUCAGCCUCCAUCCUAUUCAGCUGACCAUGGCAAUGAGGAGUCAGGCCAGGCUCUACUAGUGGCCCAAGUUGUAGAAAGUAGUCGUUGCAGAUAAUUAAACACAAGUACUGCUAAGGAGGCUAUGAAACACUUGUAAUCUGCUGUUGAUUCAGUUGUUUUUUUUAAAUCAAAGCACUUACUUAUCCAGCAUAUUUUUCUGUUUCAGAAUCUUGUAGACUUCAGCUGAGGUCUGAGGACCUUGCAGCUUUUGUCCAUUCAGCAUCUCGUUUUCCAGUUCCUCAAUGGACUAGAAGAGAGAAGACUGAUUACUUGGAUCAGAGGGGAUACUGCUGUGAUACCAGCAGCUAUCAAGAAGAUAAACAGCUAAUGAUGCCUUUGUAAAACACAGGAUUUCUUCAUACAAGGAUCCACAGAUAAUGAAGUUGAACGUGUGCACUGCUGGAAGCCUUUUCCUACCAGUUCUAUGGAGGCCACAUAUCAUGUCUUUACAGUGCUUGCCCAAGGAGAGCCCCAUGUGGUAAAGGGAUUGAGGACUGAACUCUCCAGAAAUAAUCCUGCCUCCCUGAAGGAGCUCAGCAGGUAUUGCUCUGCUCUGGAACCACCUGGGACCUGUCACAUCCCCCUGCUUCCUCCAGAUGUUAUCUUGUUGCCCAGCCACAGGUGAUACUAAACCCCAGCUACCAGCUCAAAUUGACUCUUUGCAAUAGUUACCAAUGGUGGUUUCACAGAACUUCUCGUCAGCCACUUCCUUGGCUAUGUUGGCCCCCAUAAGGACACUGAUUUCUAUUUUCAGGUGCUCUCGAAUGAGGUCAGAGAUGAGCUUCAGGCCAUCAGGACCAUCAUCAAUCCCCUAAAUAAAAGACAAUAGUCAAAGCCAAGGUAUUAGAAUAGGAAAAUGACAGCAGCAGACCACUGGUAAAGUAGAAGGUAUUCUAUUGCCUGCAGCUCUUGUUUUAAUUGGAAAAAAAUGGGGUCUUAUAUUCACUAGUGUUACCCAUGAAUACAAAUACCCUGGGUUUGUACUUUCAUAACUGCAAAAUCAAGGCAAGUUCAGGGAGAAGGAGUGGCAGUCGAGGUAACCUUGCGAGAGGCCUCACAUCCAGUGCUGCUGUCCCAAGGCUUGCUUUCUUUGGUUCUGUGUUUUUCCUUUCUGUUAAAUUCCUGUAGUACAGAAUCAAACCUUUAAAAUAAGCCUAUGAGCUGUGGCUUCUUCAGUAUUAAUCUGAUUGUUUCUUUGGUAUUGAGGAGUAUACUGAACUGUCUUUUUUUUUUUUUUUUUUUUUACUGAUCUGGUUUUUUUUUUUAAGUUA